GAUGGGAUGAGGUCACCAACACUUUCUGAUGAUCAGUUAUGUGCUAGUGUUAGUCACUCAUUUUCAUACCGUGUUUAAUCCACACAGCCACUCUCAGGACCCAACAACUCUGCUCAUUUUACAAACCGGAUGAGGAAAUAGAUGCAGAAGGGGGCGUGUCUCAAGGUCACCCAGCAGAGCCGGGUCCCUCCGGAUCAGCAGAGGAGAGGAAGGUUCCCUCUGCCAUGGGAGAUGCUUUUCUGCUACUCCUAUCUAGGACUGAAUGCAGGAGAGGCUUAGAACCUUCCAGAAAACAAUUUUGUGUGUGUACAAUGGAGAGAGUAGGAAAAGAAGUUUUGAUGUUAAACAGGCUCAGGCCUUGGCCCUGCUGCUGACUGUGUGACUUUGGGCAACUUACUUAACUUCUCGAAGCUUCAGUUUUCUCAAUUCCAAAACGGGGAGAAUAAUAGUGUCCCCCUCCCAGGGCUCUUUCAAAGACAGAAGGGGGUCCUGUAUAUAAAACACUUAGCACCAAAUAUGGCAUGCAUUAAAUGCUCAAUGUUCAUUGACUGCUAUUAAUUUUAGUAUGUCCUGAUGAAAUGGCCUUGAUCUAAGGAGCAUCCCAUCAAUAAAAGUUUCCACAAAAGCA
This is a long non-coding RNA of Bos indicus x Bos taurus (hybrid cattle), 628 nucleotides long. The record is from Ensembl. NCBI's taxonomy places the organism in Eukaryota, Metazoa, Chordata, Mammalia, Artiodactyla, Bovidae.